RNAcentral lists this unclassified non-coding RNA (468 nucleotides) under Hevea brasiliensis (rubber tree). The record is from RNAcentral. Lineage: Eukaryota; Viridiplantae; Streptophyta; Magnoliopsida; Malpighiales; Euphorbiaceae.
UGAAAAGCCCAUUAGUUUAGAAGCCUGUCUCCCCAAUCGUUCCCUAGAUGAAAUCUCUCUAAUCAAGAAGCUGGUUUGUUAUGACCCAGCUAACAGAGCUACAGCAAUGGAACUGCUUCAUGAUGAGUACUUCGGCAAGGAGCCUCUACCAGUUCCCAUAUCUGAGCUUCAUGUACCUUUGACGAAUGGUGGGCAAGAUGAGGAUUUUCCUGGUGGAUGGUAUGACUACAAUGAUAGGGAAUCAGAUUCUGAUUUUGAUGACUUUGGCCCUAUGAAUGUCACAACCACCAGUACUGGUUUUUCCCUAAAGUUUUCCUGAGCUCAAAAAUGGUGAGGUCUGCUUUCUGUAUCUUCUGGAAUUUUAUAAUUUAAUUAUAAAAUUUAUUGUUAUCCUAAAAUCCUUUGGACAUCAUGUGUUCCUGUCAAAGUAAUACCCCAAACAAAAAAAGACUCAUUCUUGUUAAAUCU